UUUAGUCAAUGUUCGAAAAAUAAAUAAAGACAAAUAAUAACCAUCAACAAUCGAUGGAGAAGAGCUAGCCUGAUUCGCGAAUCCAAUUUCGCGUAGAAAUUAAUGGAUAAACAUAUUACUUUUAAUGAAUCUUUUGACCGGUCGAUGGAGAAGAGGUGGCCGCUGAUUCGAUUUGAUUUUGAAAAGAAGAACCCUAAGUUGGCGGAUUCAAUUUGGAGAGAUUGUCGCUGCUGAAUUUGAGUUUUGGGAAAAAGAAAACUCAAGGUUUCCCUAAUUUGAUUUGAGGAGAAAGGCGUUGAUAAAAAAUGGAAUAUAAGUGGAAAAAU
This 326-nucleotide long non-coding RNA is filed under the name Erythranthe guttata (spotted monkey flower). RNAcentral's name for it is "long non-coding RNA (EGUT_LNC003453)". The record is from RNAcentral. Lineage: Eukaryota; Viridiplantae; Streptophyta; Magnoliopsida; Lamiales; Phrymaceae.